UUUUAACAUGAUAUUUGAGUUUGUUUGGAGGAUAAGUUGUUAAAUAUGAAAAUAUUUAAAUAUCGUUCCUUACAACUUUAAUUUUUAUAGAAUAAUGAUUGUUUUGUAAAUAUUAAUAUGAUAUCAUAACAGAAGAUUCUGAGUUCGAAUCACGUUAGACGCCUAGCAUUAUUAAUUUUCUCUCAUUUAAUUCAAAUCUACAUCAUAGAUCUAACGAGAAAUCUCGAGUUCAUGUGUGAGGAGGAGUGCUAAAUAUAAAAAUAUAUAAACACUGUUCCCUACCAGCUAAAAUUUUUUUAGGGAACAACUGUUAUUUCAUAUUACUUAACAACUUUUGAAUAUUAAAAGUAGAAGAUUUGAGAUUUCUUUAUUUUUUAACAUAUUGUUUUCUACUGGCUUAAACUUUUAGAGAAUAAUAGUUAUUUUAUAUUAUUUACCACUUUUUGAAUAUAAAAA
RNAcentral lists this long non-coding RNA (456 nucleotides) under Ananas comosus (pineapple). RNAcentral's name for it is "long non-coding RNA (ACOM_LNC013870)". Lineage: Eukaryota; Viridiplantae; Streptophyta; Magnoliopsida; Poales; Bromeliaceae. The record is from RNAcentral.